AUUGAACGCUGGCGGCAGGCCUAACACAUGCAAGUCGAACGAGUGGCGGACGGGUGAGUAAUGUCUGGGAAACUGCCUGAUGGAGGGGGAUAACUACUGGAAACGGUAGCUAAUACCGCAUACCAUCGGAUGUGCCCAGAUGGGAUUAGCUAGUAGGUGGGGUAAAGGCUCACCAAGGCGACGAUCCCUAGCUGGUCUGAGAGGAUGACCAGCCACACUGUAACUGAGACACGGUCAAGACUCCUACGGGAGGCAGCAGUGGUGAAUAUUGACCAAUGGGCGCAAGCCGUAUGCAGCAAUGCCGCGUGGAUGAAGAAGGCAUUCGGGUUGUAAAGUACUUUCAGCGGGGAGGCGUUACCCGCAGAAGAAGCACCGGCUAACUCCGUGCCAGCAGCCGCGGUAAUUC
This 406-nucleotide ribosomal RNA is filed under the name uncultured bacterium. RNAcentral's name for it is "partial 16S ribosomal RNA". It matches the Rfam family "Bacterial small subunit ribosomal RNA", at positions 30 to 526 of the family's 1533-position model. The record is from RNAcentral.